RNAcentral lists this unclassified non-coding RNA (180 nucleotides) under uncultured Hypocreaceae. RNAcentral describes it as "sequence contains ITS1". Lineage: Eukaryota; Fungi; Ascomycota; Sordariomycetes; Hypocreales. The record is from RNAcentral.
CCGAGUUCCCGAGACUCCCAACACCCCCUGCGAACCCUACCCAUACGUUGCUUCGGCGGGACCGCCCCGGGCCCCAGGCCCGGAACCAGGCGCCCGCCGGAGGCCCCCAAACCCUCCCGUUUCCGCCCCCGGAAUCCUUCUGAGCGGCGCCCCAGCGGCGCGAGAAAAACGAAUGAAUCA